This is a long non-coding RNA of Ornithodoros turicata, 6250 nucleotides long. RefSeq lists it as uncharacterized. The record is from RefSeq and is a predicted model, not a curated record. Lineage: Eukaryota; Metazoa; Arthropoda; Arachnida; Ixodida; Argasidae. The transcript has 2 exons.
GUGACGUGAUUUCGCAAGCAGUAGUUAGCAUUGCACUAGUUCUAGUUUUAGUCCUAGCUUGUUGAGAUAGUUAUAUGGGAGCGAGUCCUUGUGACUGGUCUUCCGCCUCGAUGCCAAUACACGCGCAGAUAUAAUUUAGAAGAACAUACUUAGCGUGCAAUUUUGACUUUGAAAAUUUAAAGCAGAAAAUGAUCUUUAUUGUGGAGUUUGCGUUUUACAACGUUAUGAGCUAAAAACUUAUAAAAUUAAAGUAUGACCUUUCCAUUUGUAGUGCCCUGAUGCUAUGACACUAAAAUAUUCUGAUAGUUUUUCUGUAUGGCUACGGGAAAUCUCGAGUAUAUUUUGCGAAUUGGAUCUACGUUUAUGUGUGACCUGCGCUGAUCUGCUUGUUAUGAUUAAUAUAACAUAUCUUCCAUUGUGUUUAUGCAUAACGCUCAUCUUCAUUGUAUAUUGGUUAAAGGUCAGAAUGCCGAUUUUGAAGUGCCGCAGAACUGAGCAAUACUCGCGCUGUGUGUUCAUUACCGAACACUGAAUAUGUGUGCGAAAUAUCUUGCUCCAACUGUUCGUAGUUUUUUAGAGAACAGUUUUUUUAUUUCCCACGCCCGGCCGUCAGACCGUCGGCAAACCCUGCGCACGGGCGCACCGACGUCACUGCUCUCGGUUUAUCUGUCUUUGGCUUGGCAUGGACUCUUGGCUUGGCCGCUUGACUGCUUUCGUUUCGUCCUCUGUGCCCUCAGUGCCCUCUACUACUAUACUAGUAUAGAGUAGGUCGUGCUCUGUGCGCUCUGUGCAUCGUACAUAAGCGAACAGCUGUUAUGUUGUUGCUAAGCCGGAAACAAAGCAUGUGAAUAUUUUUUUUUGGCACGGCGUCGUUUGGAAGGUGUACUUCCUUGUUCUGACCUUGCCUUUUAUGGGCUGGAGCGAUAUGAUACGUGAUAUGCCACGGCGAAGUUGUCGAAGAUGCGACGGUGCUACGCUGUUAGAACAAUGCAUCGGAACAUUCAAGUGUUACCUAUUAUAAGCUUCCAAAAGACCAAGCAGUGCGAAGCUCUUGGCUGACAGUGGUGCCUGCUAAUUUCCACUGCAAGGAUUUUUCGUCCACGAAUGUUAUCAUAGGUUACGCGCGACUCCAGAGGCAAUUUGGAAUCUCGACACGAAAUCGUCUGAUGAAAAUCUGAGGUGCCCGACGCACAACAUUUUGAACGUGCCACGGAGGAUCAAGGCAAAAAACGAGAGCAAAAAAGGUAAGUCGAGGUUCAGAUAUAAAAAAUAGCAAGCUUAAUGAAUCAAUUGUGCAGCUGUCCUACUGCGCUUACUCUGAUAUAACCACGACUAACAACACAAUAGUAUUGAUAAUCUAACUUCUGAAUUAUCACAGGUGCACGCUGAAGGCGGAAAUGAAGCAUGAUCUGGCUUGCAUCUGGUGCAUGAAGAAAUUGAUGACACAUUAGUUGCAGUCGACCUCCACCAACAGGUAUGACAAUGUGAUGUUAUAAUUUGAGUAUUCACCUAUGUUCAACUUUUCAUGUGCACUCGCAUGCAGACAUCUUGACACCACUUUUAAAUCUGCCUUCAAAGUUACAACCUGUGCUUUCAGGGUGGAAAACAAAGGUCGCCAUUCCGAUUAGCUGUCUGGACACUGGUUCCUGUGGAUGGGCUGUUACAAGCUUCACUGUCUGAUAUAGAAGUGAUGAGCAUCCAUAAGGACACAUGCCAGAAAGGGAGUCUCUUUGGGAUGACAAACCCUCAUCACCUCAUGAGGACACAAUGGUUGACGAAUGGUUCUCAAGCACAUCGAAACUUCAACAAAUAAUUCAUGAAAAAGCGAGUCAGUGCUAGCACCAGGAAUUGAACAUGGACCGUCCCGCAACCAGUCAGAGAUGUUACAUUUCAGGCGCUCAUUGACUUUUGGUGAAUUACUUGUUGACUUUGUCCCAAGGUGGAACUCGCCACAGCUCAUUUGUCUAUCUGUUAAUGUUGUGGCGUGUGUUGCGUUUUUCUCUUUGUGUGUUCCAGACUCAGAACGGUUAAUUUGGAUCAGGUCAGGUACGUUUUAUUUAGACAUGGCAAACAUAAAGUGGUGUUUCUCAACACAACUUAGCAGUGACCUUCAUGCAUUACUGCUACGGCCAUUAAGCGUGAAUCGAAAGCUGCACAGUAUGCAUGAUGUAAAACCCCAAGACUAGGGAACAGGAAGGGACAGACACAAACACGUCCCUUUGUGUUCCCUAGUCUCGGGGUUUUACAUAUGCAUCAUCUUGACCAGCUCGCCUGCUUCCUAGCCAUUUUUUCUGCACAUUAUGCUCACUCUACUUUUAUCGUGGGCUAUAUAAUCUUGUUCAAGUUCUGUCAAACGACGUGUAAUGCUAUAAAAAAAUUCAGUACACUGUUUAUGUGGGUUGAAUGGUAGCGCAUGAAUGCAGGAAGGAAACUGUCAUUUUAUGGCAAGUGUUUACGUAUUGUGCGUUUAACUACUAAUUUUAUUGGUUAGCUUUCGCCGGCGUAUCAUGUCAAGCCAUGUUAUAUUAAUUUGGAACAUGUUCUUCUUAGUAGCCAGAGCAGCUGAUACCCAGUGAGAACAUAGCCCGUGUGUGUUUGUCUUUUCCACCGCAGCCCUUUUGUUUCCUCCCUGAUUGCUACACAUGUCAGGGAUAGGUUUCAGAACCGGUAGUUCCGGCCAAGUGUGAAUUGCUUUUCAGGGGAUCAUCACGCUGGCAGAUGAAACAUAUGGUUUAAAUUAUAUUGUAUUAUAUAUGUUAUAUAUUAUUUGCAGGACAGGAAUUGCGUAGCUUCACAUAAAUACUACUACUACGACGUAAGAGUAGUUUUAAAUCUAACUUUUUUAUGUUCAAAAGGGGAAAAAAUUAAUAAAACACUGUCAAGGAGCCCGCGAAGAGGGAAUCACACACGUAACAUGAAAAACGGUUAGGAGCAACUAAUAUUUAUUCGUUUUUCAUGUUACGUGUGUUUUUUAUGUUCCUGACAUUAUCGCACAAGAUGUAGUAUCCACUAUGAUCCUUUAUAUGGGGGUAUGUACAGUGCAGUCAACAGAUGCUGUUUACAAAUCUGUGCUUUCUACUGUGUUGAAAUGGGGUAGUUUGUAUCUGAGAGCCAUAGUGAAACACAGGCAGCCAAGGACAGACUUUUGAUGCCCUCGAGAAAACAUGGCAACACAUUGCAGGGACUCUGGAUGCUGCCUAAAUUUCCAGAACACACAGCUCAAGGCAAUAACAAGUAAAUAAAUAACACGUGGGUAGAGAAAUCCAAGACAGUUGCAUGUGUAAGCAGUCCGCUGUUGGAUUUGCUUCUGUCCGAGGUACGUUAUCUCAAAGGGAACGCACGGACACCCUCAGAAUGAUACUAGGGCUGCUUGUGAAAUAGAAUGAGGAGAGGGGAAGAUAUAUAACCCUUUUUUCUUGUCUGUUAUUCUAUUGGUUAAAUUGUCAUUUGCUUAGCAGCAUAUAUGUGUAUAUUCCAGAGUCUGCUAAUAAAUAUAUCAGUUUAGAGCUAGCAGUCGCAUUGGAGAUGUCUCAUCCUGUCCUUGGCUGCUUGUGUUUCACUGUGACAUUGCUUGCUAUUGCAAAAACAGAAAACAAAAAAGACAAUAGAAAAACACGAAAAGAGCGACCUAAAAAGCUGCCUGUUCUGGUGCUCACAUGGAGGCAAUGCAAUGAGGUAACGUGCUCCAUUCAUGAACUGUGCAUAGUAGUACAUAUCACAACGGCAACGAUUAUUCAGAUUUUUUCUUGAAGUACUUUGUUUUUUUUCAGCUUUGUUUGCAGAGUCUAUUAUUGGAACUUUAUGUGAUUCCCCUCUUGAGAUACUUUAAGAUUGCUGAUGCUGUGCAGUUAAUUUUGAAACUGUACUGUGCUGAGGUACAAAAAGAGAAUUGUCAUACCUGCAUUUGAGCACAUAGGAAUAAUGUGUAAGUACUUUCCUUGUUGACAUUAAUAUUUGCACCAGGUCACAACAUUGUUGAUUGAUGUAAAAUGUAAAUAAAUAUAUUUAUUUGCUUGCCAAACAAUGCACAAAUGUCUUCUUUUCUAGUGAGAUAUUCCCUGUUCACCAGACAUAAAUGUGGAAAAGUUAAAGGGGCACAAUGAUGGUAGAGUCUAGCAUUGCUUUUUCCCACUUCACAUAUAUUCACUGUUAUUCGUGUGCACAUGUAGGAAUAGGAAGGUAGAGCAUGCGCAUAAAAAAUUUCGUAUGCAGCCACACAUAUGGUUCAGAAGAUUAAUUAGAUGAUGUCCAAGCAUAUAUAAUUGUGCUUCAUAUGCAAUGGAUAUGCUAACGGAUUGCUUCCAUGUAGCCUUUUUAUUUACUUUUUUUAUAAAUUCUUUUUAUAAAUGAUAUUUUUUAUUUGAUAUAAAUUUCAUAUUACAUAUUGUAUACUUAUAUUUUUAUAAAUUUUAUAAAUUAAAAACUCAAAUUACACGGCCCCUGUAAGAGUGCCCUUUGCAAAUGGUUUGGUAACGUGUCUCUAACUGUAAAGGUAAGAGGCAAUCGAGAAUGCUGCAGACAGGGUUGCAACUUACAUAUUGCUUAUCAUGUCCUACAUACAAAGUGAUUUGUACAAUAAUUCCUGAGGACGGAAUUAAUUCCGAGGCUGGCCAGUGAUGUCACCCAGGACGACAAAUCACAUGAUUGCCUCUAACACUUUUACACCUCAUGGGCUGAGUUGUGAAUUGAAAGAGCACUCUACAGAAGGAUGAGGCGCACCUGAUUUCUAGGAUCUAUGCUAUGCCCUAACUCUUCAGGCACUACCUUUCUAAAAACACCAUUUCUAAGUGGCAAUAUGUGCUCUGGUACUUCUUUUGCGUCUGCAUAGUGUGUAACCACAUGGCUACUGGAGCUUUCGUGUGCAUCUUUUUGUGCGACGGUGCUCAUUACAAACAAUAUCCAGAUGUUAGACAUAAAAUGCAGUAGUUUGUAGCGUGCCACACAAUGCAGCGUGACAUGGGAGUGUGUGAUUCAAAGAAAGCUUCUGGAAAAUGCACAGAAUCCCACAAAAAGUUUAAAAUGUGAUUGGUAUUUCGUUUUACGUCUCUCGUCGUUACAUACCAUCGUCGACGCUGUUGCGCAUUGAUAAAUCGUACGUAAAACUUGUCCCAUAGCAGUAUGCGGUUUCUCAAAUACAUAGCACAAUUUUUUCCUGCAGGAAUAAAACGCUGUCGGCAUUUUCUUGCUAACACGGCUGUCGAAACGUCAGUCUCUACAAUGGGCAAGUGCUGUAAAGGGGCUAACGCAGACGCGACUUGAUACAAAUUGUACGUGCUCACAAAACACAAAUGACGAAUUCCAGUCACAACAUCGCACAGAGGUUGGCUCGCGAAUGAGUUCGCAGCUGCUGCACUGUUUACUUAUCGCAGAACGGUGAAACCCGGCUGUCCGCCAUCUUCAAGCAUAGAUACGUGAAGUCGCGAGAAGCCGUAGCUGAAAUCCACUGGAAAGUACGAAGGCGCGUACACGUCACAAUGCCCGUUCGUCAGCUACGUGAUAAAAAUGGCUGCGCCCAUGUGUGUUUCGGAAUGAAUUAUCUAUUUUUUUUACAUGGUACUGCACCGAACUGAGAGAAUGAAGAUGCAUUUUGGGGAGAGCUGGAUGUGGGCUUUCAGAAUAUCCCAACCGUUUCGACUAUUUUGGAUAUCGGCAUAGCUGACCUUUAAGCAUUUCUGAUGGCGGUAGUGUGAUCCGCUUCUCCCAAAAUCUGAUUGCCACUUGGAAAUUAUUUCAUAGACGUUUGUGUGCCGUGUGUUACGACGAUUACGUGACUCGAAAUGCAGGCUUCGCCUGCACAUCAUGCUUGUAAAAUCCUCCAAUUGCAUCGCGGCAUUUGAUAAUAGAUUCGCUUUUGCGCGAAGGCUUCGUAUUAUCUCGCAGGCACUGAACUCACAGGCGUUCUUGUCGGCCGUGUUCCGUGGUCUUCCAGGGUCUCUGCUGUUCGCAAUUAAUUACAUACAUCUAUUGGCACCCGUCUUCAACAAAUCAGGGCAGGUAUCAUUAGAGCUGGUUGUUUGCUAGAAGCGUGCUAUGUGGUGAAGUUCAUUUUUAACAUUUCUAUUUUAUGUGUGUGUGUUGGAUGCAUAAAACAAGGCUAGGUUUGUAGUGUCUCUUAGAAUGAAAACUGUAUAGUGUUCGAUUAGAUUAUGUCACGAGGAUGAUUUUAUGACAGAUAAUAUGAUAGAUUAUUCUUCUCUGUUCUUUUGAUGAAGAAUAUCUUCUUUGAUUAAAUGUUGUGUUAUGGAUUUUA